UAUAACAAAAAACCCUAAACUGAGUGGCUUAUAAACAACAAAAACUUAUUUCUCACAGUUCUGGAAGCUGGGAAUUCCAAGAUCAGGCACCAGUAGAUACAGUGUCUGGUGAAAGCCUGCUUCCUUGUUCA
This is a long non-coding RNA of Prionailurus viverrinus (fishing cat), 131 nucleotides long. RefSeq lists it as uncharacterized. The record is from RefSeq and is a predicted model, not a curated record. Lineage: Eukaryota; Metazoa; Chordata; Mammalia; Carnivora; Felidae. The transcript has 3 exons.